RNAcentral lists this ribosomal RNA (436 nucleotides) under uncultured bacterium. RNAcentral describes it as "bacterial SSU rRNA". It matches the Rfam family "Bacterial small subunit ribosomal RNA", at positions 335 to 762 of the family's 1533-position model. The record is from RNAcentral.
ACUCCUACGGGGAGGCAGCAGUGGGGAAUAUUGGACAAUGGGGGAAACCCUGAUCCAGCCAUGCCGCGUGUGUGAAGAAGGCCUUCGGGUUGUAAAGCACUUUCAGUGGGGAGGAAAGGUUGUUGGUUAAUACCUAACAGCUGUGACGUUACCCACAGAAGAAGCACCGGCUAACUCCGUGCCAGCAGCCGCGGUAAUACGGAGGGUGCAAGCGUUAAUCGGAAUUACUGGGCGUAAAGCGUGCGCAGGCGGUCUGUUAAGCGAGAUGUGAAAGCCCCGGGCUCAACCUGGGGAACUGCAUUUCGAACUGGCAGACUAGAGUCUUGUAGAGGGGGUUAGAAUUCCGAGGUGUAGCGGUGAAAUGCGUAGAGAUCUGGAGGAAUACCGGUGGCGAAGGCGGCCCCUGGACAAGACUGACGCUCAGGCACGAAAGCGU